This 497-nucleotide ribosomal RNA is filed under the name uncultured bacterium. RNAcentral describes it as "partial 16S ribosomal RNA". It matches the Rfam family "Bacterial small subunit ribosomal RNA", at positions 28 to 507 of the family's 1533-position model. The record is from RNAcentral.
GAUGAACGCUGGCGGCGUGCCUAAUACAUGCAAGUCGAGCGAACGGACGAGAAGCUUGUUUCUCUGAUGUUAGCGGCGGACGGGUGAGUAACACGUGGAUAACCUACCUAUAAGACUGGGAUAACUUCGGGAAACCGGAGCUAAUACCGGAUAAUAUUUUGAACCGCAUGGUUCAAAAGUGAAAGACGGUCUUGCUGUCACUUAUAGAUGGAUCCGCGCUGCAUUAGCUAGUUGGUAAGGUAACGGCUUACCAAGGCAACGAUGCAUAGCCGACCUGAGAGGGUGAUCGGCCACACUGGAACUGAGACACGGUCCAGACUCCUACGGGAGGCAGCAGUAGGGAAUCUUCCGCAAUGGGCGAAAGCCUGACGGAGCAACGCCGCGUGAGUGAUGAAGGUCUUCGGAUCGUAAAACUCUGUUAUUAGGGGAGAACAUAUGUGUAAGUAACUGUGCACAUCUUGACGGUACCUAAUCAGAAAGCCACGGCUAACUACGUG